GGAUGCAGUAAACCUUCAAAAUCAAGCAGUUGAAAAUGAAACAGAAGAGAGUAUUAAAGUACAAGAUUUAACGAAUUCUAUUGACGAAUUGAAAAAUAUAAACGAUCAGCCAACAAAAGAAAUUAAGGAGUUGAAAGAAAGUGCAGCCCUCGC
Molecule: long non-coding RNA, 153 nt
Organism: Melanaphis sacchari
Lineage: Eukaryota; Metazoa; Arthropoda; Insecta; Hemiptera; Aphididae
Exons: 3
Source: RefSeq, a predicted model, not a curated record